Molecule: long non-coding RNA, 389 nt
Filed under: Trifolium pratense (red clover)
Lineage: Eukaryota; Viridiplantae; Streptophyta; Magnoliopsida; Fabales; Fabaceae
Description: long non-coding RNA (TPRA_LNC002914)
Source: RNAcentral
GGGGUUCGAACCCCGACCCCUAAUGUAAUGUCCCUGCCAACCGACCUGAUCUCAUCGGACUAUUUGACAUAGUGUUUCUACUGUUGAUCAAGAAUAAAACAUGUUGCCCAUGUUGGACGAUGAAAAUGCCGAUUCACAUUGGAUAUGUCUUUUGUGCCAUAUUUGUUCAUGCUUUGGAUUGAAGCAUGGUCAUUCUUAUAGUAUCUCACUGUUUAAUAAAACUAUUAUAUUUCGUGUUAUGACAGCAAACAAAGGGUCUCGAUCUAUAUUCCAUUUCCCAGGGGAAAAAAUCAUAAGUUAAUACAACUACAAGACGAAAUGAGAUUGUAUUUGUAUUUAUGAAGUCAAGAAUCUGAUGUAACUCCAUUUAGAUUUUAGCGAGAGCAUUC